Molecule: ribosomal RNA, 503 nt
Filed under: uncultured bacterium
Lineage: Bacteria
Description: partial 16S ribosomal RNA
Rfam family: Bacterial small subunit ribosomal RNA
Source: RNAcentral
GAUGAACGCUGGCGGCGUGCCUAAUACAUGCAAGUCGAACGAAGAUCUAGCUUGCUAGAUCUUAGUGGCGAACGGGUGAGUAAUACAUAAAUAAUCUGCCCAUAUGACUGGGAUAACUAUUGGAAACGAUAGCUAAUACCGGAUAGGUUGAUCGGAGGCAUCUCUGAUGAAUUAAAGUAGGAUUUCUACACAAAUGGAUGAGUUUAUGGCGCAUUAGUUAGUUGGUGGGGUAACGGCCUACCAAGACGAUGAUGCGUAGCCGACCUGAGAGGGUGACCGGCCACACUGGGACUGAGACACGGCCCAGACUCCUACGGGAGGCAGCAGUAGGGAAUUUUCGGCAAUGGGCGCAAGCCUGACCGAGCAACGCCGCGUGAGUGAUUAAGGCCUUCGGGUUGUAAAGCUCUGUUGUAAGGGAAGAACAUUCAGGAUAGGAAAUGAUCUCGAACUGACGGUACCUUACCAGGAAGCCACGGCUAACUACGUGCCAGCCGCCGCCGUAA